CCAGGAGCGCACACGCUGGUACCCGAAAGAUGGUGAACUAUGCCUGGCCAGGACGAAGCCAGGGGAAACCCUGGUGGAGGUCCGAAGCGAUUCUGACGUGCAAAUCGAUCGUCUGAGCUGGGUAUAGGGGCGAAAGACCAAUCGAACCAUCUAGUAGCUGGUUCCCUCCGAAGUUUCCCUCAGGAUAGCUGGCUCUCGGGAAGAGACGAGUCUCAUCCGGUAGAGCGAAUGAUUAGAGGUGAUGGGGUCGAAACGACUUCAACCUAUUCUCAAACUCCCAAUAGAUGAGAGCCCCGGCUUGCUUGAAAGUGAAGCCGCGGGACUCGGAUCAGAGUGCCAAGUGGGCCAAUUUUGGUAAGCAGAACUGGCGCUGUGGGAUGAACCAAACGCAGAGUUAAGGCGCCCGAUUCGACGCUCAUCUGAAACCAUGAAAGGCGUUGGUUG
Molecule: ribosomal RNA, 444 nt
Filed under: Melanacanthus scutellaris
Lineage: Eukaryota; Metazoa; Arthropoda; Insecta; Hemiptera; Alydidae
Description: partial large subunit ribosomal RNA
Rfam family: Eukaryotic large subunit ribosomal RNA
Source: RNAcentral